This 452-nucleotide ribosomal RNA is filed under the name uncultured bacterium. Its description in RNAcentral is "bacterial SSU rRNA". It matches the Rfam family "Bacterial small subunit ribosomal RNA", at positions 29 to 524 of the family's 1533-position model. The record is from RNAcentral.
AACGAACGCUGGCGGCAUGCCUAACACAUGCAAGUCGAACGAGACCUUCGGGUCUAGUGGCGCACGGGUGCGUAACGCGUGGGAAUCUGCCCUUGGGUUCGGAAUAACAGUUAGAAAUGACUGCUAAUACCGGAUGAUGUCUUCGGACCAAAGAUUUAUCGCCCAGGGAUGAGCCCGCGUAGGAUUAGCUAGUUGGUGGGGUAAAGGCCUACCAAGGCGACGAUCCUUAGCUGGUCUGAGAGGAUGAUCAGCCACACUGGGACUGAGACACGGCCCCAGACUCCUACGGGAGGCAGCAGUGGGGAAUAUUGGACAAUGGGCGAAAGCCUGAUCCAGCAAUGCCGCGUGAGUGAUGAAGGCCUUAGGGUUGUAAAGCUCUUUUACCCGGGAUGAUAAUGACAGUACCGGGAGAAUAAGCCCCGGCUAACCUCCGUGCCAGCAGCCGCGGUAAU